UUAAGCGACUAAGCGUACACGGUGGAUGCCCUGGCAGUCAGAGGCGAUGAAGGGCGUGCUAAUCUGCGAUAAGCGCCGGUAAGGUGAUAUGAACCGUUAUAACCGGCGAUACCCGAAUGGGGAAACCCAGUGUGAUUCGUCACACUAUCAUUAACUGAAUCCAUAGGUUAAUGAGGCGAACCGGGGGAACUGAAACAUCUAAGUACCCCGAGGAAAAGAAAUCAACCGAGAUUCCCCCAGUAGCGGCGAGCGAACGGGGAGGAGCCCAGAGCCUGAAUCAGCAUGUGUGUUAGUGGAAGCGUCUGGAAAGGCGCGCGAUACAGGGUGACAGCCCCGUACACAAAAGCGCAUGUGCUGUGAGCUCGAUGAGUAGGGCGGGACACGUGGUAUCCUGUCUGAAUAUGGGGGGACCAUCCUCCAAGGCUAAAUACUCCUGACUGACCGAUAGUGAACCAGUACCGUGAGGGAAAGGCGAAAAGAACCCCGGCGAGGGGAGUGAAAAAGAACCUGAAACCGUGUACGUACAAGCAGUGGGAGCACCCUUCGGGGUGUGACUGCGUACCUUUUGUAUAAUGGGUCAGCGACUUAUAUUCUGUAGCAAGGUUAACCGUAUAGGGGAGCCGGAGGGAAACCGAGUCUUAAUUGGGCGUUAAGUUGCAGGGUAUAGACCCGAAACCCGGUGAUCUAGCCAUGGGCAGGUUGAAGGUUGGGUAACACUAACUGGAGGACCGAACCGACUAAUGUUGAAAAAUUAGCGGAUGACCUGUGGCUGGGGGUGAAAGGCCAAUCAAACCGGGAGAUAGCUGGUUCUCCCCGAAAGCUAUUUAGGUAGCGCCUCGUGAAUUCAUCUCCGGGGGUAGAGCACUGUUUCGGCUAGGGGGCCAUCCCGGCUUACCAACCCGAUGCAAACUGCGAAUACCGGAGAAUGUUAUCACGGGAGACACACGGCGGGUGCUAACGUCCGUCGUGAAGAGGGAAACAACCCAGACCGCCAGCUAAGGUCCCAAAGUCAUGGUUAAGUGGGAAACGAUGUGGGAAGGCCCAGACAGCCAGGAUGUUGGCUUAGAAGCAGCCAUCAUUUAAAGAAAGCGUAAUAGCUCACUGGUCGAGUCGGCCUGCGCGGAAGAUGUAACGGGGCUAAACCAUGCACCGAAGCUGCGGCAGCGAACGUAUCACCCAAGACAACUUUACGGAGUUGACGAUUGACGGAGCGAAGCGACGUCAAAGCGUUCAUUAAAGUCGAGUUGGCUUAGGGAUACGUUCGUUGGGUAGGGGAGCGUUCUGUAAGCCUGUGAAGGUGUGUCGUGAGGCAUGCUGGAGGUAUCAGAAGUGCGAAUGCUGACAUAAGUAACGAUAAAGCGGGUGAAAAGCCCGCUCGCCGGAAGACCAAGGGUUCCUGUCCAACGUUAAUCGGGGCAGGGUGAGUCGACCCCUAAGGCGAGGCCGAAAGGCGUAGUCGAUGGGAAACGGGUUAAUAUUCCCGUACUUGGUGUUACUGCGAAGGGGGGACGGAGAAGGCUAUGUUGGCCGGGCGACGGUUGUCCCGGUUUAAGCGUGUAGGUGUGUGUUCCAGGUAAAUCCGGUUCACUUUAACACUGAGGCGUGACGACGAGGCACUACGGUGCUGAAGCAACAAAUGCCCUGCUUCCAGGAAAAGCCUCUAAGCAUCAGGUAACAUCAAAUCGUACCCCAAACCGACACAGGUGGUCAGGUAGAGAAUACCAAGGCGCUUGAGAGAACUCGGGUGAAGGAACUAGGCAAAAUGGUGCCGUAACUUCGGGAGAAGGCACGCUGACACGUAGGUGAAGUGAUUUACUCAUGGAGCUGAAGUCAGUCGAAGAUACCAGCUGGCUGCAACUGUUUAUUAAAAACACAGCACUGUGCAAACACGAAAGUGGACGUAUACGGUGUGACGCCUGCCCGGUGCCGGAAGGUUAAUUGAUGGGGUCAGCGCAAGCGAAGCUCCUGAUCGAAGCCCCGGUAAACGGCGGCCGUAACUAUAACGGUCCUAAGGUAGCGAAAUUCCUUGUCGGGUAAGUUCCGACCUGCACGAAUGGCGUAAUGAUGGCCAGGCUGUCUCCACCCGAGACUCAGUGAAAUUGAACUCGCUGUGAAGAUGCAGUGUACCCGCGGCAAGACGGAAAGACCCCGUGAACCUUUACUAUAGCUUGACACUGAACAUUGAGCCUUGAUGUGUAGGAUAGGUGGGAGGCUUUGAAGUGUGGACGCCAGUCUGCAUGGAGCCGACCUUGAAAUACCACCCUUUAAUGUUUGAUGUUCUAACGUGGACCCGUUACCCGGGUUGCGGACAGUGUCUGGUGGGUAGUUUGACUGGGGCGGUCUCCUCCUAAAGAGUAACGGAGGAGCACGAAGGUUGGCUAAUCCUGGUCGGACAUCAGGAGGUUAGUGCAAUGGCAUAAGCCAGCUUGACUGCGAGCGUGACGGCGCGAGCAGGUGCGAAAGCAGGUCAUAGUGAUCCGGUGGUUCUGAAUGGAAGGGCCAUCGCUCAACGGAUAAAAGGUACUCCGGGGAUAACAGGCUGAUACCGCCCAAGAGUUCAUAUCGACGGCGGUGUUUGGCACCUCGAUGUCGGCUCAUCACAUCCUGGGGCUGAAGUAGGUCCCAAGGGUAUGGCUGUUCGCCAUUUAAAGUGGUACGCGAGCUGGGUUUAGAACGUCGUGAGACAGUUCGGUCCCUAUCUGCCGUGGGCGCUGGAGAACUGAGGGGGGCUGCUCCUAGUACGAGAGGACCGGAGUGGACGCAUCACUGGUGUUCGGGUUGUCAUGCCAAUGGCACUGCCCGGUAGCUAAAUGCGGAAGAGAUAAGUGCUGAAAGCAUCUAAGCACGAAACUUGCCCCGAGAUGAGUUCUCCCUGAGACUUAGAGUCUCCUGAAGGAACGUUGAAGACGACGACGUUGAUAGGCCGGGUGUGUAAGCGCAGCGAUGCGUUGAGCUAACCGGUACUAAUGAACCGUGAGGCUUAACCUU
Molecule: ribosomal RNA, 2988 nt
Filed under: Salmonella enterica subsp. enterica serovar Typhimurium
Lineage: Bacteria; Pseudomonadati; Pseudomonadota; Gammaproteobacteria; Enterobacterales; Enterobacteriaceae
Description: bacterial LSU rRNA
Rfam family: Bacterial large subunit ribosomal RNA
Source: RNAcentral